This 848-nucleotide ribosomal RNA is filed under the name uncultured bacterium. RNAcentral describes it as "bacterial SSU rRNA". It matches the Rfam family "Bacterial small subunit ribosomal RNA". The record is from RNAcentral.
CAGCCAGCGUAAGCUUAGGGGCUAGCUUGCGGAUCAUGGCGUAAGAGCUCGUAGCGUCGUAGUCGGGUGGAAGCCCUCAUCACGAGAAUGCAUCGAUACUGCAGCUAGAGUCAGCAGAGGAGUGAUCCCGUGUAGCGUGAAUGCGCAGAUAUCGGGAGACACCGGUGGCGAAGGCGGCUCUGGGCUGUACUGACGCUGAGGAGCGAAAGCUAGGGGAGCGAACAGGAUUAGAUACCUGGUAGUCCUAGCCGUAAACGAUGGGCACUAGGUGUGGGGGGUUACCAAAUCCCUCCGUGCCGAAGCUAACGCAUUAAGUGCCCCGCCUGGGGAGUACGGCCGCAAGGCUAAAACUCAAAGGAAUUGACGGGGGCCCGCACAAGCGGCGGAGCAUGUGGCUUAAUUCGACGCAACGCGAAGAACCUUACCAGGGUUUGACAUGCUCGCGAAAACCGUGGAAACACGGUCCUCCUUCGGGACGCGUGCACAGGUGGUGCAUGGCUGUCGUCAGCUCGUGUCGUGAGAUGUUGGGUUAAGUCCCGCAACGAGCGCAACCCUUAUCGCAUGUUGCCAGCGGGUUAUGCCGGGAACUCAUGCGAGACUGUCGGUGUCAAACCGGAGGAAGGUGGGGAUGACGUCAAGUCAUCAUGCCCCUUAUGCCCUGGGCUGCACACGUGCUACAAUGGCCGGUACAGAGGGCUGCGAUACCGCGAGGUGGAGCGAAUCCCAAAAAGCCGGUCUAAGUUCGGAUUGGAGGCUGCAACUCGCCUUCAUGAAGUCGGAGUCGCUAGUAAUCGCGAAUCAGCAAUGUCGCGGUGAAUACGUUCCCGGGCCUUGUACACACCGCCCGU